RNAcentral lists this transfer RNA (66 nucleotides) under Pseudantechinus bilarni (Sandstone dibbler). Its description in RNAcentral is "tRNA-Cys". The record is from RNAcentral. Lineage: Eukaryota; Metazoa; Chordata; Mammalia; Dasyuromorphia; Dasyuridae.
GGCUCUGAAGUAUAUAUUACGUUGAAUUGCAAAUUCAAAGAAGUAGCAUAAGCGCUGCCGGGGCUU